CUGCGGAAGGAUCAUUAAAGAGUUAGGGUCCCAGUGGCCCAACCUCCAACCCUCUGUUGUUAAAACUACCUUGUUGCUUUGCCGGGACCGGUCCUCGGACCGCGUUAGCCCUCGGGCUGGCGAGCGCCCGGCAGAGUCCAACCAAACUCUUGUAUUAAACCAGUCGUCUGAGUAUAAAAUUUUAAUUAAAUUAAAACUUUCAACAACGGAUCUCUUGGUUCUCGCAUCGAUGAAGAACGCAGCGAAAUGCGAUAAGUAAUGUGAAUUGCAGAAUUCAGUGAAUCAUCGAAUCUUUGAACGCACAUUGCGCCCCUUGGUAUUCCGAGGGGCAUGCCUGUUCGAGCGUCAUUACACCACUCAAGCACUGCUUGGUAUUGGGCAUCGUCCGUCGAAAGGCGGGCGUGCCUCGAAGACCUCGGCGGGGUUUCACCAACUUCGGGCGUAGUAGAGUUAAAUCAAAACGUCUUAUAAGCUUGGUGGGGCCUCAUUGCCGUUAAACCUUUUAUUUUUCAGGUUGACCUCGGAUCAGGUAGGGAUACCCGCUGAACUUAAGCAUAUCAAUAAGCGGAGG
Molecule: ribosomal RNA, 571 nt
Filed under: fungal endophyte
Lineage: Eukaryota; Fungi
Description: eukaryotic LSU rRNA
Rfam family: 5.8S ribosomal RNA (bases 195-348)
Source: RNAcentral